RNAcentral lists this non-coding RNA (147 nucleotides) under bacterium AM6. Its description in RNAcentral is "Bacterium AM6 FMN sequence". It matches the Rfam family "FMN riboswitch aptamer (RFN element)". From Rfam's summary of the family: The RFN element is a highly conserved domain that is found frequently in the 5'-untranslated regions of prokaryotic mRNAs that encode for flavin mononucleotide (FMN) biosynthesis and transport proteins. The record is from RNAcentral.
AAACGUCUUCAGGGCGGGGUGCAAUUCCCCACCGGCGGUAGGUGCGCAAGCACGAGCCCGCGAGCGCCCCGGCCUUGCCGUCGGGGGUCAGCAGAUCCGGUCCAAUGCCGGAGCCGACGGUCAUAGUCCGGAUGAAAGAAGACGGUG